GACGAACGCUGGCGGCGUGCUUAACACAUGCAAGUCGAACGGAAAGGCCCUGCUUUUGUGGGGUGCUCGAGUGGCGAACGGGUGAGUAACACGUGAGUAACCUGCCCUUGACUUUGGGAUAACUUCAGGAAACUGGGGCUAAUACCGGAUAGGAGCUCCUGCUGCAUGGUGGGGGUUGGAAAGUUUCGGCGGUUGGGGAUGGACUCGCGGCUUAUCAGCUUGUUGGUGGGGUAGUGGCUUACCAAGGCUUUGACGGGUAGCCGGCCUGAGAGGGUGACCGGCCACAUUGGGACUGAGAUACGGCCCAGACUCCUACGGGAGGCAGCAGUGAGGAAUAUUGCACAAUGGGCGGAAGCCUGAUGCAGCAACGCCGCGUGCGGGAUGACGGCCUUCGGGUUGUAAACCGCUUUCGCCUGUGACGAAGCGUGAGUGACGAUAAUGGGUAAAGAAGCACCGGCUAACUACGUG
This 468-nucleotide ribosomal RNA is filed under the name uncultured bacterium. RNAcentral describes it as "partial 16S ribosomal RNA". It matches the Rfam family "Bacterial small subunit ribosomal RNA", at positions 28 to 507 of the family's 1533-position model. The record is from RNAcentral.